This 253-nucleotide ribosomal RNA is filed under the name uncultured bacterium. RNAcentral's name for it is "partial 16S ribosomal RNA". It matches the Rfam family "Bacterial small subunit ribosomal RNA", at positions 524 to 776 of the family's 1533-position model. The record is from RNAcentral.
UACGAAGGGGGCUAGCGUUGCUCGGAAUCACUGGGCGUAAAGCGCACGUAGGCGGAUUGCUAAGUCAGGGGUGAAAUCCUGGAGCUCAACUCCAGAACUGCCUUUGAUACUGGCGACCUUGAGUCCGGGAGAGGUGAGUGGAACUGCGAGUGUAGAGGUGAAAUUCGUAGAUAUUCGCAAGAACACCAGUGGCGAAGGCGGCUCACUGGACCGGUACUGACGCUGAGGUGCGAAAGCGUGGGGAGCAAACAGG